AUUUCAUAGAAUUUUUGGGUUCUUUCCAAGAAUGUCUUGCUAAAAAAAACCAAAAAUCCACAUACAAGUUUAUUGGAUAUUUUCAAAAUUUCUUAUUUUUUAAUCCAAGAAUUCAUGUUUUUUGUUGCUUGGUAAAAUAAAUGUAUCGC
Molecule: non-coding RNA, 149 nt
Organism: Caenorhabditis elegans
Lineage: Eukaryota; Metazoa; Nematoda; Chromadorea; Rhabditida; Rhabditidae
Source: Ensembl